UACGUAGGGUGCAAGCGUUAAUCGGAAUUACUGGGCGUAAAGCGUGCGCAGGCGGUUAUGUAAGUCCGGUGUGAAAUCCCCGGGCUUAACCUGGGAACUGCAUUUGUGACUGCAUAGCUAGAGUACGGUAGAGGGGGAUGGAAUUCCGCGUGUAGCAGUGAAAUGCGUAGAUAUGCGGAGGAACACCGAUGGCGAAGGCAAUCCCCUGGACCUGUACUGACGCUCAUGCACGAAAGCGUGGGGAGCAAACAGG
RNAcentral lists this ribosomal RNA (253 nucleotides) under uncultured bacterium. RNAcentral's name for it is "partial 16S ribosomal RNA". It matches the Rfam family "Bacterial small subunit ribosomal RNA", at positions 524 to 776 of the family's 1533-position model. The record is from RNAcentral.